CUGGAAUGACAGACUUGUGCCCCCAUGCCCAGCUAAUUUUUUUGUGUUUUAGUAGAGAUGGGGUUUCACCGUGUUGGCCAUGCUGGUCUUGAAUUCCUGUCCUCAGCCCCACAAAGUGCUGGGAUUACAGGAGUGAGCCACUGUGCCCCGCCUCAUCUAUAUUUCUUAAAAACAAGGGCAUCUCUUAUGUAACUACAAUACAAUUAUCAAAUCCUGGAAAUUUAACAUUGAUAUAAUACCAUCUUCUAAUUUCUAUUCACAUUCAAAUUUUGCCAGUUGUCCCAGUAAUGACCUCAUGGCCAUUGUUUCCCACCCCAGUAUGACAUUACAGUUAGCUGUCAUGCCUCUUUAAUCUCUUACCUGAAACAGUUCCUGUCUUUGUCUUUCACAACAUUGAUGUCUUUGAAGAGUAAGGGCCAGUAGUUUUGCAAAUGUCCUUCAGCUUGGGUUUGUCUGUUUCCUCAGAACUGAGUUCAGGUGAUGUGUUAUUGAAGUGAUGUCGAGUCUUUGGCACGCAUCUCACCAGGAAGUGUGCGAUCUUGCUUUGUCCCCUGGCGAUGCCAGCUGUGGGGAUUUGACUAGGGUGGCAUCUACCAGGUGUCUUCACUUUCUCCUUUGUGCUGAAUAAGUCAUCCAGGGGAGGCAUUUGGAGAUCAUGUAGAUAUCCUGUCCCUAUAACAUUGUCACUUGUGGUUUUAGAAAAUCAUGCUUUGAUGGUUCUCCCCAGAUUCCGUCGCUGUUAGGAUGGCAGCCACGUGCUGGCUUUCUAAGGCCAACAUCCCUUCCACGUCUGUCUGUGGUUGCUGGUUUUGAUGCCUGUUUAGAGCAGACAGAUCUCAGCGCAGUGGGGAGUGCUGAAAUGGGUUCCCUUCCAAAAGGGAAACCCCCAGAGGGGCAGUCCUUGGGAGAAACAAUUUAGCAGCAAGUACUGUGAAAUUAACCCUGCACCUUUGACCAUGUGAUCCCAGUUCCAGAUUUUUCAUCUCUCUUUUGUGUUAUAAGUAACACCCAAAAUGAUACUGUUUCAUAGAAAAAGUGUUCAAAUAUAGAGCCCCUGGAGGAGAGAAAUUGAAAGCACUGUGUCUGUGGCAGGUGGAAGUGCUCAGAGCCUUCCUCCUGAGAACAGGGUGGCGUGGGCUCUGGAGAGGGGACCUGGAUUUGGGUCCUGACACAAGUUGGGCAAACCGCCUGCCGUUUCUGCUCAUCUGUGAAAUGGAGUCACGCAUCCCUGUUGUGGAGGAGUUGGGUCCCUGCUUCCCCUUCUCUGUGAGCGUGGAACUGGACGGUGUGGUCUGCCCUGCGGGCACUGCGAAUAGCAAGACAGAGGCCAAACAGCAGGCAGCGCUGUCUGCCCUCUGCUACAUCCGGAGUCAGCUGGAGAACCCAGAGUCCCCCCAGACCUCCAGCCAGCCUCCACUGGCCCCCCUGAGCAUAGAGAACAUCCUGACCCAUGAGCAGCGCUGCGCAGCGUUGGUGAGCGCUGGCUUUGACCUCCUGUUGGAUGAGCGCUCGCCAUACUGGGCCUGUAAGGGGACUGUGGCUGGAGUCAUCCUGGAGAGGGAGAUCCCGCGUGCCAGGGGCCACGUGAAGGAGAUCUACAAGCUGGUGGCUCUGGGCACUGGCAGCAGCUGCUGUGCUGGCUGGCUGGAGUUCUCGGGCCAGCAGCUCCAUGACUGCCAUGGCCUGGUCAUCGCCCGCAGGGCCCUGCUGAGGUUCUUGUUCCGGCAGCUCCUGCUGGCCACACAGGGGGGCCCCAAGGGCAAGGAGCAGUCCGUGCUGGCCCCCCAGCCAGGGCCCGGACCCCCAUUCACCCUCAAGCCCCGCGUCUUCCUGCACCUCUACAUCAGCAACACCCCCAAGGGCGCGGCCCGUGACAUCUACUGACUCAUGCCAUGACCCUCCAACUCUGAGCAGGGCCAUCCACACCCGGCCCUGCCUGGACAGUGUCCUGGGGCCAUGCCUGCCACCUCCCUACGUCCGGACUGCCCUGCACCUGUUUGCAGGGCCCCCGGUGGCCCCUUCCGAACCCACCCCUGACACCUGCCGUGGCCUGAGCCUCAACUGGAGCCUGGGGGACCCUGGCAUCGAGGUUGUGGAUGUGGCCACCGGGCGUGUGAAGGCCAAUGCCGCCCUGGGGCCUCCCUCCCGUCUCUGCAAGGCCUCCUUUCUCCGGGCCUUUCACCAGGCGGCCAGGGCUGUGGGGAAGCCCUACCUCCUGGCCUUGAAGACCUACGAGGCUGCCAAGGCUGGGCCCUACCAGGAGGCUCGCCGGCAGCUGUCUCUUCUCCUGGACCAGCAGGGCCUGGGGGCUUGGCCCUCGAAGCCACUGGUGGGCAAAUUCAGAAACUGAAGUCGGCCUCCGCGGGACCACGGUCCCGGAGCCAAGCUAUACCCCUGCUUGGGGAGUGCCCUAUCUGAGGAGCGUUGUGGGGAGAACAUGGGUUGUGCGGGGUGAAACUGGGGCUGGAGGGAAGGAGGAGCCUGCUGUGGUUGGGAGGCGGCUGCUGCACGUUUGGGCUUGAAUAAAGAAGUAUUUCUGGUU
RNAcentral lists this small RNA (2542 nucleotides) under Pan troglodytes (chimpanzee). Its description in RNAcentral is "retained intron". Lineage: Eukaryota; Metazoa; Chordata; Mammalia; Primates; Hominidae. The record is from RNAcentral.